Molecule: ribosomal RNA, 253 nt
Filed under: uncultured bacterium
Lineage: Bacteria
Description: partial 16S ribosomal RNA
Rfam family: Bacterial small subunit ribosomal RNA
Source: RNAcentral
UACAUGGGGUGCAAGCGUUGUCCGGAAUUAUUGGGCGUAAAGAGCUCGUAGGCGGUUUGUCGCGUCGAAUGUGAAAACCCGGGGCUCAACCCCGGGCCUGCAUUCGAUACGGGCAGACUAGAGUUCGGUAGGGGAGUCUGGAAUUCCUGGUGUAGCGGUGAAAUGCGCAGAUAUCAGGAGGAACACCGGUGGCGAAGGCGGGACUCUGGGCCGAUACUGACGCUGAGGAGCGAAAGCGUGGGGAGCAAACAGG